CCUACGGGUGGCAGCAGUGAGGAAUAUUGGUCAAUGGACGAGAGUCUGAACCAGCCAAGUAGCGUGAAGGAUGACUGCCCUAUGGGUUGUAAACUUCUUUUAUAUGGGAAUAAAAUGUUCCACGUGUGGGAUUUUGUAUGUACCAUAUGAAUAAGGAUCGGCUAACUCCGUGCCAGCAGCCGCGGUAAUACGGAGGAUCCGAGCGUUAUCCGGAUUUAUUGGGUAUAAAGGGAGCGUAGGUGGAUUGUUAAGUCAGUUGUGAAAGUUUGCGGCUCAACCGUAAAAUUGCAGUUGAAACUGGCAGUCUUGAGUACAGUAGAGGUGGGCGGAAGUCGUGGUGUAGCGGUGAAAUGCUUAGAUAUCACGAAGAACUCCGAUUGCGAAGGCAGUUCACUGGACUGCAACUGACACUGAGGCUCGAAAGUGUGGGUAUCAAACAGGAUUAGAUACCCUGGUAGUC
Molecule: ribosomal RNA, 460 nt
Filed under: uncultured bacterium
Lineage: Bacteria
Description: partial 16S ribosomal RNA
Rfam family: Bacterial small subunit ribosomal RNA
Source: RNAcentral